This 1081-nucleotide long non-coding RNA is filed under the name Mus spicilegus (steppe mouse). RNAcentral describes it as "lncRNA (ENSMSIG00000027090.1)". Lineage: Eukaryota; Metazoa; Chordata; Mammalia; Rodentia; Muridae. The record is from RNAcentral.
UCCAGGCCCAGCUUUGUCUCAUUGUCCCACCUAUGACCGCGAAGGAAGCGUGCAAGCAAAGCGGCGCUCCGUGUUUUAGCCACAGUGUCGGCAGCACGGGGACCCAGGUAGUGCAAGCUUGCAGCGGCUGCGUCCGCCCGACUCGGUCGGGCCCUGGAGACCGCAUGGCUAGGACGAAGUCGCUGGGGCUUUGCAGCCUGAGCCUGCGUAGACCCUGGGGCGACCCGUUUGCGAGAUCGCGGCAGUGACUUAAGGCACCCCCUGGCAGAAGCGCGUUUGAAUCGGUUCCCGGGCUGCUUCCCAGCCUCUGCCCAGUCUGUGCUGCGCGGCCCGCCCAGGCCCGGAGCCGCGGGGGCUGGAGCCGAGGGCACGCGUGCAUUUCGUGUCUCCGGAGAGCCGCGGGGCCUUCUCCUUUUCCUCUCAACAAGGCAGCGGAAGGCGCCAAGCGAUCCAGGCGGCUUCUCGGUGGGAUCUGAGAGGGAUAGCGGCGUCGAUGGCUGUAGGACCGUGUGCUUGUUUGACCCGCGUGGGAAGGGCUUGGGGAUCGCGCACUGAAGGUCUCGGAGCGGGCGGGCUACGCAGGGUUCCGCGCUUCUGUGUGUCAGAUUCGAUUCCUGGAGCCUUAUUUCAGAUGAAGACCUGCUGCCUUAGCCAUCUCUGUGGAAAUGGGGCUAAGAAGACCUCCACAGGAAAAAAAACAUCACUAUUUGUCCAAAUCCUCCAACACUUGCUCCAGCUGGAUCCAUAGACAAUCCUGACUGUAUCUGGCUUUUUCUGACUUUGAAGUACUGUGUCUAUCUUCCUGAAGACAAGAUGACAUUUUCAUUUCAGAUUUUGGCCUUAUAUAGGAGAAAACUAAAUAAGAAGGAAUGCAUGAAGUUUAAGGACUUUCUCAUACAGGAGAUUCUGGAAUUGAAGCUGAAACAGAUAUCUUAGACUGAAGUGAAGAAAGCAUCUCAGAAAGAUCUUGCCAACUUACUUCUGAAAUGUGGGGAGAAUCAAGUCUGGGAUAUGACCUUCAAAAUCCUCCAGAAGAUCAAUAGGAAAGAUCUCACUGAAAGGGCAUCAGAAGAGAUUGCUG